UAACAUUGCGAUGUGGCAUCACAUUGCAAUUAUAGUUUCGACGCUUAAUGAUGGGUGUGCGUAUGAUUAGAUAGUUGGCGAGGUAACGGCUCACCAAGUCUACGAUCAUUAGCUGAUGUGAGAGCAUGAUCAGCCACACGGGCACUGAGACACGGGCCCGACUCCUACGGGAGGCAGCAGUAAGGAAUAUUGGUCAAUGGACGCAAGUCUGAACCAGCCAUGCCGCGUGAAGGAUUAAGGUCCUCUGGAUUGUAGACUUCUUUUAUAUGGGACGAAAACAGAUCUUUCUAGAUCCUUUGACGGUACCAUAUGAAUAAGCACC
RNAcentral lists this ribosomal RNA (322 nucleotides) under uncultured bacterium. RNAcentral describes it as "bacterial SSU rRNA". It matches the Rfam family "Bacterial small subunit ribosomal RNA", at positions 173 to 494 of the family's 1533-position model. The record is from RNAcentral.